UGAGUGUGAGAGCGAGAACAGCCCCGCAGGUCCCGAGGCGCUGGCUGGGGACAAUGCCGCGGAAAGUUCCCAGUCCCCAGCCGCAGAUCUGCAGAAUUGAAAUGAAAUGUUUUGAGCUCUUCAAGCUGACUCGUCAGAAUCCUGGAGCCUUUUAAAAAAUGACGAAUUGGAAGGAAAAAUUACUUUAUCAAUAACCAGGCUCCACCAGGAUUGACCUAGAUGGUUGUUCCUGGCACUUGUCAUUCUCAGCAAGCACAGCUCAGAGAACAAAUACAAAAGACCCAAAGUGCAUUGCAUCUUUUAUGGAAGUGCCCAAUGUGGAAAUCAUAGAUUUCAAGGAAGGAACAAGAAAAUUGAUGAAACAAGUUCAAAAGAAAGAAGCUUGGCCAAUUUGAUGUCAAUGGAAAUGCGUGAGAUUUUUAUUCAGCAUUCACACCUGAGCAAUGCUUUUGGUCAUGAUGUCAUACUAAGAAGAAACCACCUGAGAUGAGACUGUUAGAUGUUCAGAG
RNAcentral lists this long non-coding RNA (509 nucleotides) under Homo sapiens (human). RNAcentral describes it as "PCDH10 divergent transcript". The record is from RNAcentral. Lineage: Eukaryota; Metazoa; Chordata; Mammalia; Primates; Hominidae.